GACGAACGCUGGCGGCGUGCCUAACACAUGCAAGUCGAACGGAACUGUUUUGAAAGAUUUCUUCGGAAUGAAUUUGAUUUAGUUUAGUGGCGGACGGGUGAGUAACGCGUGAGUAACCUGCCUUCAAGAGGGGAAUAACAUUCUGAAAAGAAUGCUAAUACCGCAUGACAUAUCGGAACCACAUGGUUUUGAUAUCAAAGAUUUUAUCGCUUAAAGAUGGACUCGCGUCCGAUUAGUUAGUUGGUGAGGUAACGGCUCACCAAGACCGCGAUCGGUAGCCGGACUGAGAGGUUGAACGGCCACAUUGGGACUGAGACACGGCCCAGACUCCUACGGGAGGCAGCAGUGGGGGAUAUUGCGCAAUGGGGGCAACCCUGACGCAGCAACGCCGCGUGAAGGAUGAAGGUUUUCGGAUUGUAAACUUCUUUUAUUAAGGACGAAAAAUGACGGUACUUAAUGAAUAAGCUCCGGCUAACUACGUG
Molecule: ribosomal RNA, 482 nt
Filed under: uncultured bacterium
Lineage: Bacteria
Description: partial 16S ribosomal RNA
Rfam family: Bacterial small subunit ribosomal RNA
Source: RNAcentral